Molecule: long non-coding RNA, 218 nt
Filed under: Mytilus galloprovincialis (Mediterranean mussel)
Lineage: Eukaryota; Metazoa; Mollusca; Bivalvia; Mytilida; Mytilidae
Source: RNAcentral
GUUUUCGUCAUUGUCAUACGUUUUCAAGUUAUCAUAAAAAAGAAGUUUUGUGAGUAUUUAUAUAAGUUAAGAGUUUAGUUUAACAAUUUUGCUACGAAUUAUAAUAGUGAAAUGGUUCUAAACGCGGGGGAUAUAAAAUUUGAAUAACACGCAAGAUUUGUUAGUUUUUAUUUUAGCCUGUAAUAAAAGGGUAACGUAGCUAAAAUUCUAACUAAAAA